UAUGUUUUAGUGUAUGGAGCACAUGAAUUUUUGAUAUUUAAAGGAGCAGUUUAAUUCUGUUUAACAUAA
This 69-nucleotide transfer RNA is filed under the name Ergatettix serrifemora. RNAcentral's name for it is "tRNA-Gln". The record is from RNAcentral. Lineage: Eukaryota; Metazoa; Arthropoda; Insecta; Orthoptera; Tetrigidae.